UCCGUAGGCGGUUUUGUAAGUCAGUGGUGAAAGCCCAUCGCUCAACGGUGGAACGGCCAUUGAUACUGCAAGACUUGAAUUAUUAGGAAGUAACUAGAAUAUGUAGUGUAGCGGUGAAAUGCUUAGAGAUUACAUGGAAUACCAAUUGCGAAGGCAGGUUACUACUAAUACAUUGACGCUGAUGGACGAAAGCGUGGGGAGCGAACAGGAUUAGAUACCCUGGUAGUCCACGCCGUAAACGAUGGAUACUAGCUGUUCGGAGCAAUCUGAGUGGCUAAGCGAAAGUGAUAAGUAUCCCACCUGGGGAGUACGUUCGCAAGAAUGAA
This 326-nucleotide ribosomal RNA is filed under the name uncultured Bacteroidota bacterium. RNAcentral describes it as "bacterial SSU rRNA". It matches the Rfam family "Bacterial small subunit ribosomal RNA", at positions 568 to 898 of the family's 1533-position model. The record is from RNAcentral. Lineage: Bacteria; Pseudomonadati; Bacteroidota.